This 500-nucleotide ribosomal RNA is filed under the name uncultured bacterium. Its description in RNAcentral is "partial 16S ribosomal RNA". It matches the Rfam family "Bacterial small subunit ribosomal RNA", at positions 30 to 523 of the family's 1533-position model. The record is from RNAcentral.
AUUGAACGCUGGCGGCAUGCCUUACACAUGCAAGUCGAACGGCAGCACGGGAGCAAUCCUGGUGGCGAGUGGCGAACGGGUGAGUAAUAUAUCGGAACGUGCCCAGUCGUGGGGGAUAACGUAGCGAAAGCUACGCUAAUACCGCAUACGAUCUAUGGAUGAAAGCGGGGGAUCGCAAGACCUCGCGCGAUUGGAGCGGCCGAUAUCAGAUUAGGUAGUUGGUGAGGUAAACGCUCACCAAGCCGACGAUCUGUAGCUGGUCUGAGAGGACGACCAGCAACACUGGGACUGAGACACGGCCCAGACUCCUACGGGAGGCAGCAGUGGGGAAUUUUGGACAAUGGGCGCAAGCCUGAUCCAGCAAUGCCGCGUGCAGGAUGAAGGCCUUCGGGUUGUAAACUGCUUUUGUACGGAACGAAACGGCGAGCUCUAAUACAGUUUGCUAAUGACGGUACCGUAAGAAUAAGCACCGGCUAACUACGUGCCAGCCGCCGCGGUAA